CUUGACUAUCUUGAUAAUCUGCCCACCGCAAUUUCUGGGUGGGAUCCUUUUGUCUGGCCUUCUGACUGGAUGAUUGUUGAGGCUGACUGGUGGAUGAUUGAGACUUUGGGAGGCAUCAUCAUUAUCUUCAUCUUCCAUUUGAGAAGCUUGAAGAAUUAGUUGUCGGGCAAUUUCUUACAAUUUUGUCUUCGAUUUUCCUUCGAUUGGGAGGGAAGAAUGAGAUGUUCUAGAAGAGGAUGACUUUUGGGAA
RNAcentral lists this long non-coding RNA (250 nucleotides) under Prunus dulcis (almond). RNAcentral describes it as "sRNA ncRNA". Lineage: Eukaryota; Viridiplantae; Streptophyta; Magnoliopsida; Rosales; Rosaceae. The record is from RNAcentral.